AUGGAGUUGAGUAAAAGAAACUUUUGUUUUCAAGACAACAACAAAUACAAUAGCAGUUGCAUUUCACUCUUGUCUAUCUUCUCUCCUCUGCGACAUAACCAAGAUUCUAAUGUUGUUGAAGAAACUAUUGAAUGGAAUAAACCUGGAAUAAACAUAAAUCAGAAGAACCAACAGUAUGAAAAAGGGUGGGGUUCUGCGUGUGAAUACGAGUAA
RNAcentral lists this long non-coding RNA (213 nucleotides) under Vicia faba (fava bean). The record is from RNAcentral. Lineage: Eukaryota; Viridiplantae; Streptophyta; Magnoliopsida; Fabales; Fabaceae.